AUUGAACGCUGGCGGCAUGCCUUACACAUGCAAGUCGAACGGCAGCACGGGAGCAAUCCUGGUGGCGAGUGGCGAACGGGUGAGUAAUAUAUCGGAACGUGCCCAGUCGUGGGGAUAACGUAGCGAAAGCUACGCUAAUACCGCAUACGAUCUAUGGACGAAAGCGGGGGAUCGCAAGACCUCGCGCGAUUGGAGCGGCCGAUAUCAGAUUAGGUAGUUGGUGAGGUAAAGGCUCACCAAGCCAACGAUCUGUAGCUGGUCUGAGAGGACGACCAGCCACACUGGGACUGAGACACGGCCCAGACUCCUACGGGAGGCAGCAGUGGGGAAUUUUGGACAAUGGGCGCAAGCCUGAUCCAGCAAUGCCGCGUGCAGGAUGAAGGCC
RNAcentral lists this ribosomal RNA (385 nucleotides) under uncultured bacterium. RNAcentral's name for it is "bacterial SSU rRNA". It matches the Rfam family "Bacterial small subunit ribosomal RNA", at positions 30 to 416 of the family's 1533-position model. The record is from RNAcentral.